GGUAGCGUGGCCGAGCGGUCUAAGGCGCUGGUUUAAGGCACCAGUCUCUUCGGAGGCGUGGGUUCAAAUCCACCCUUUCCA
This 81-nucleotide transfer RNA is filed under the name Exocentrus adspersus. RNAcentral's name for it is "tRNA-Leu". It matches the Rfam family "tRNA". From Rfam's summary of the family: Transfer RNA (tRNA) molecules are approximately 80 nucleotides in length. The record is from RNAcentral. Lineage: Eukaryota; Metazoa; Arthropoda; Insecta; Coleoptera; Cerambycidae.